UAAAAUUGCUCAGUUGGUAGGGCAUGAGACUCUUAAUCUCAAGGUCAUGGGUUCGAGCCCCACAUGGGGCAAAA
This is a non-coding RNA of Podarcis lilfordi (Lilford's wall lizard), 74 nucleotides long. NCBI's taxonomy places the organism in Eukaryota, Metazoa, Chordata, Lepidosauria, Squamata, Lacertidae. The record is from the annotation of a GenBank genome assembly.